RNAcentral lists this ribosomal RNA (468 nucleotides) under uncultured bacterium. RNAcentral's name for it is "partial 16S ribosomal RNA". It matches the Rfam family "Bacterial small subunit ribosomal RNA", at positions 28 to 507 of the family's 1533-position model. The record is from RNAcentral.
GACGAACGCUGGCGGCGUGCUUAACACAUGCAAGUCGAACGGAAAGGCCCUGCUCUUGUGGGGUUCUCGAGUGGCGAACGGGUGAGUAACACGUGAGUAACCUGCCCUUGACUUUGGGAUAACUUCAGGAAACUGGGGCUCAUACCGGAUAGGAGCUCCUGCUGCAUGGUGGGGGUUGGAAAGUUUCGGCGGUUGGGUAUGGACUCGCGGCUUAUCAGCUUGUUGGGGGGGUAGUGGCUUACCAAGCCUUUGACGGGUAGCCGGCCUGGGAGGGUGACCGGCCACAUUGGGACUGAGAUACGGCCCAGACUCCUACGGGAGGCAGCAGUGGGGAAUAUUGCACAAUGGGCGGAAGCCUGAUGCAGCAACGCCGCGUGCGGGAUGACGGCCUUCGGGUUGUAAACCGCUUUCGCCUGUGACGAAGCGUGAGUGACGGUAAUGGGUAAAGAAGCACCGGCUAACUACGUG